GCCUGGCUAGCUCAGUCGGUAGAGCAUGAGACUCUUAAUCUCAGGGUUGUGGGUUAGAGCCCCACGCCGGGCG
RNAcentral lists this transfer RNA (73 nucleotides) under Schistocerca americana (American grasshopper). RNAcentral's name for it is "tRNA-Lys". It matches the Rfam family "tRNA". From Rfam's summary of the family: Transfer RNA (tRNA) molecules are approximately 80 nucleotides in length. Their secondary structure includes four short double-helical elements and three loops (D, anti-codon, and T loops). Further hydrogen bonds mediate the characteristic L-shaped molecular structure. tRNAs have two regions of fundamental functional importance: the anti-codon, which is responsible for specific mRNA codon recognition, and the 3' end, to which the tRNAs corresponding amino acid is attached (by aminoacyl-tRNA synthetases). tRNAs cope with the degeneracy of the genetic code in two manners: having more than one tRNA (with a specific anti-codon) for a particular amino acid; and 'wobble' base-pairing, i.e. permitting non-standard base-pairing at the 3rd anti-codon position. The record is from RNAcentral. Lineage: Eukaryota; Metazoa; Arthropoda; Insecta; Orthoptera; Acrididae.